Molecule: ribosomal RNA, 414 nt
Filed under: beta proteobacterium BAL275
Lineage: Bacteria; Pseudomonadati; Pseudomonadota; Betaproteobacteria
Description: bacterial SSU rRNA
Rfam family: Bacterial small subunit ribosomal RNA
Source: RNAcentral
UCGAACGGCAGCGCGGACUUCGGUCUGGCGGCGAGUGGCGAACGGGUGAGUAAUAUAUCGGAACGUACCCAGUAGCGGGGGAUAACUACUCGAAAGAGUAGCUAAUACCGCAUACGCCCUACGGGGGAAAGGGGGGGAUCGCAAGACCUCUCACUAUUGGAGCGGCCGAUAUCGGAUUAGCUAGUUGGUGGGGUAAAGGCCUACCAAGGCGACGAUCCGUAGCUGGUUUGAGAGGACGACCAGCCACACUGGGACUGAGACACGGCCCAGACUCCUACGGGAGGCAGCAGUGGGGAAUUUUGGACAAUGGGGGCAACCCUGAUCCAGCCAUCCCGCGUGUGCGAUGAAGGCCUUCGGGUUGUAAAGCACUUUUGGCAGGAAAGAAAUCGCACGGGUUAAUACCUUGUGUGGAUG